AGGGACGUACUUCUCCAGGCUCGCAAAGCGAGAAGGGGAGCAUCUGGCCGUGGGUCACCGCCUUGGCGGUCGUGCGAGAGUCUUGCCCAGAUCUCCCGAAAGGCGGAGAGCGAGCCCAAGGCCUACCAACCUUCUCCCGCCCGAAAACAGCAGAAUGGGGGACUCGGAGCCACAUGGAAGUGCGCUCUGACCAUAACCACGAGAUGGACGAGGAAGGGUUGGCCUCUUUGAGGACUCAGCAGCCACGAAGGCCUUCCCUGGUCGCAACCCUUCCUCAGGGAGACACGGAGCUUCCGAGUGUGGCCUCGGGGCGCUCCUGACCCUGCCGCGGGGCAAGGGCUCUGACUGUAACAUUCAGGUUUGAAAGUCCCUUUGGAGCCUCGAAGUAGCGGCCUCCCACCGUCUCCUGAAUCAUCACGGCACCGGGGCGGGAGUCUUUCGAUAAGCUGAGACGAACGGCCGCGCAGGAGAGUGCGGGCUUCCAGAAGCCGGCAGGGAUAACUUGAAAUAUGGGCAGGUGUUGCUGGGCCUUGAAGAUUAGAAUCAGUCCAUGAAAAGGAGAAUGUACGAAUCAGCUUAGAAUACGGAAACAAGUGAGCUUUAAAGGAAAAUAUUCACUCUCGAUACCCCUGUCCAGGAGGAAGAGUGCUGAUCUGCUUCUUCCAGGCCGCUGGACUGGAGAAUAGAAGCUGCCCGACCCCAGCCAAGCCAGUGUCUGUCCCCUCUCACUCCCCAGCACUUCUGCCUUGCUUUUCGAAAAUUUCUGCAAGACAUAGAUUUUCAUCAUAACCAGAAAAAAAGAAAACUUAAACAUGUAAAUACGGCAUAUACCAUGUGAUCUCAAUAAUAUAAACAUGCAUAGAAAAGACAGUAAGGAAAUAUGAACAACUGUUGACGGGUAUGUAAUUUUUGACAAGUUGAAUAUGGCUUAUUCUGGUUUGCACUUUUUGGUAUUUUCCACCUGACAGAGAAAAUAAAACAGUAUAAAAUAACUUAAGUCAUUUUGUUCAAUAGUCAAGAGGUUCCAAAAUGAGAUGUUGAAUUCAAAAGCCUUUAGGAACUAUGAAGAAAGGUAAUGCAUUAGUGUUGUUAUGAAGAUAAGUUUCCCAAUGUUACUGCAGAUUAGAUCGCUUUUGAGUGCAUUAUCAGUCCUUCUGUACAUGAAUCUGUUGCUCUAUGGCAAAGGCAACUUGAAGAUAAGCUGGUAAAGAUUCCAGAACUACAAGUAAAAACUAGGCCCUGGAGUAGCAAUAAAAAUUCCAAACCCCGAGGCCCAUCCAGCCUGUCCACAACAUUCCUGUAUUGAUGACAGCAAAAUAGACACUCAUGAGAGGCAUGACUUUUGUUUUUUCCAUACCUAAGUGAAGAAAAGAGAUUACCAUACUGGUCUCUCUGGAGGUUAAAUAGUAAGACUUGAUGAAUUAGUUAAUAAAGCUAGAUAGCCCACAGAUUAUGUGGAGAUAUGCUUUGACGUUUACAUCUAAGUAGUUCAUCUGUGCUAAAAUCAAUAAAAUAGUUUUUCAAGCACAACUUAUUGGCAUUUUCCUAUUUCUAUUAAGAAAUUCAUGUAGUUUUCACGGCAAUUUUCAAAAAUGCCUAAAUAAAGUUUUUGUUAUAGUGUACUGUGGAUUUUAAUAUACUAGAAAAAUAAAAAAGACUUUCCUCUAGAGACUAA
Galeopterus variegatus (Sunda flying lemur) is the source of this 1675-nucleotide long non-coding RNA. RefSeq lists it as uncharacterized. The record is from RefSeq and is a predicted model, not a curated record. Lineage: Eukaryota; Metazoa; Chordata; Mammalia; Dermoptera; Cynocephalidae. The transcript is spliced from 2 exons.